GAUGUGUCAAACACAAUGAGGAGGCACACACGUUUAUAUAGAGAACAUAAUCUAGGUCUGAGAUGGGUUGUGCACAAAGACCAAUAGCACCCUCAUUCAGCCUUGUAACCCGAGUAACCCAAGUAACCUGUAACCCGAGUAACCCAAGUAACCUGUAACCCGAGUAACCCAAGUAAUCUGUAACCCGAGUAACCCAAGUAACCUACAUUUAACCCUUAACUAUGCCUUAGUUAGUGUUAAAUGUCUUCUUGAUUAAC
Molecule: long non-coding RNA, 257 nt
Filed under: Arabidopsis lyrata
Lineage: Eukaryota; Viridiplantae; Streptophyta; Magnoliopsida; Brassicales; Brassicaceae
Description: long non-coding RNA (ALYR_LNC000615)
Source: RNAcentral